CACAGGCUACCACCUUCACUGGGGACCAGGGUCCAGCCCUCCAGCUGCCGCCACCUUGACACCCUCAGGACACAGCUGUGUCUUCAACUAGGAGACGAACAGGCAUCUUGGCUGAGGCCUGCCGCUGAGCUUCCUAACAAUCACAGGUCUGCGGCUCUGGACAGUAAUGCUUACAGCACCCCAUCACGGGAUUUGAACCCAGGCUGUCUGAUUCCGGAGUCGCCGACUAUCUCUUAACUACCUGGGUGUUCUCCCUGGGCCAGUCUGGGUUUCCUUCAUCCCAGGAUUCCUUGGAGGCCUUGGGAGAGGUGUGCUAGCUCUCCCUGCAAGUGUCUCUGUGGGAAAAGGCAAGGAGGGAGAAUGAGCACGAGCAGGAGGAGGGG
Molecule: long non-coding RNA, 383 nt
Organism: Lontra canadensis (Northern American river otter)
Lineage: Eukaryota; Metazoa; Chordata; Mammalia; Carnivora; Mustelidae
Exons: 4
Source: RefSeq, a predicted model, not a curated record